UACGGGGGGGGCAAGCGUUGUUCGGAAUUAUUGGGCGUAAAGAGCUCGUAGGCGGCUCGUUGCGUCGGCUGUGAAAACCCACAACUCAACUGUGGGCCUGCAGCCGAUACGGGCGAGCUAGAGUUCGGUAGGGGAGACUGGAAUUCCUGGUGUAGCGGUGAAAUGCGCAGAUAUCAGGAGGAACACCAAUUGCGAAGGCAGCUCGCUGGGACGUAACUGACGCUGAGACGCGAAAGCGUGGGGAGCAAACAGG
Molecule: ribosomal RNA, 253 nt
Filed under: uncultured bacterium
Lineage: Bacteria
Description: partial 16S ribosomal RNA
Rfam family: Bacterial small subunit ribosomal RNA
Source: RNAcentral